This 482-nucleotide ribosomal RNA is filed under the name uncultured bacterium. Its description in RNAcentral is "partial 16S ribosomal RNA". It matches the Rfam family "Bacterial small subunit ribosomal RNA", at positions 30 to 507 of the family's 1533-position model. The record is from RNAcentral.
AUUGAACGCUGGCGGCAUGCUUUACACAUGCAAGUCGAACGGCAGCGCGGGGCAACCUGGCGGCGAGUGGCGAACGGGUGAGUAAUAUAUCGGAACGUACCCAGAAGUGGGGGAUAACGUAGCGAAAGUUACGCUAAUACCGCAUACGAUCUACGGAUGAAAGUAGGGGACCGCAAGGCCUUAUGCUUUUGGAGCGGCCGAUAUCUGAUUAGCUAGUUGGUGAGGUAAAGGCUCACCAAGGCGACGAUCAGUAGCUGGUCUGAGAGGACGACCAGCCACACUGGAACUGAGACACGGUCCAGACUCCUACGGGAGGCAGCAGUGGGGAAUUUUGGACAAUGGGCGCAAGCCUGAUCCAGCAAUGCCGCGUGAGUGAAGAAGGCCUUCGGGUUGUAAAGCUCUUUUGUCAGGGAAGAAACGGUAGAGGCUAAUAUCCUUUACUAAUGACGGUACCUGAAGAAUAAGCACCGGCUAACUACGUG